RNAcentral lists this microRNA (23 nucleotides) under Equus caballus (horse). RNAcentral describes it as "Eca-Mir-6119_5p (mature (guide))". Lineage: Eukaryota; Metazoa; Chordata; Mammalia; Perissodactyla; Equidae. The record is from RNAcentral. RNAcentral also lists the same sequence under 1 other name.
AGAGGUAAAAAAUUGAUUUGACU